CAUACUAAUUCCAACGGUUACAUUACAUGAGUUGCAACGAUUUAUAGUUAAAAUACUCAUACUCGUAUAAUCUAUAAUCUGUUACAACUAAACCAGCAUACUAUGUAAGUACUCAAACGCUACACAAAUUUUAUUUUAUACGAUUAUAGUUUUAUUACAAGUACAUAGUAUGGUGAUAGCAGAUAUUAAUCUUCAGAAGGCCCUAAGAUCAAUCACAAUAUCUAGAGAAAACCAUUUCAUUAAAGCUGUGGUCAAUUUUAAAAAUGCUCACAACCUAGAGAUGCUGCACAAAUCAUUAAUCUAAAUAAACAGAAUAGUAAUUUCAAGGACGUACCACCAGUAUUUAUAUCUUUUAAUAACGAUUUAAUUCUAAUAUUACAACACAUACAUAUUUGUUUUCUUUUGAAAAUAAGAUAAAAUACUUCUACUUUGAGAUAAAUUUGAAUAUUUGUUGAACUAUUCCAAAAUUGUUUUUUUCGUGAAAUUUGCAAACACUAAUUAUUAUAUUCAAAUGUUACAAGACCAAGCACUAAAAAUCAAAUUAUUUAGAAGAGCCUAAAAACCGUUUAUUUAUGAAUUAACUUGUUCUUAGUUCAUUUAAUAUUUUUUGUUUAACUAUUUACUAAAUAGUUAAUAUUAUACGGCUGUAUUUAUUAAUAUUAUUGUUAUAAUCGUUGUUUUUUUCUCAACUUUUAACUUAAGUUUUGUCACUUACGUCCAAUUUAGUAUUUUUAAAACAGAAGUUUUUUUAUUUCUAAAAAAAUGGUGCUUACGCUUAACUAUUAAGUUUGAUAUUUUUAGCCACUUACGACUUUCAAACAAUUUUGAAAUACCGUAGCCCGAUAACAUUAACAUUAUUAUCAUAAUUUUGCCAAGGCUGUGAUCAUCAAUAAUAUUGUCGAGUAAAAACGCGAAGAAAUUUAUAAAUGGUAACAUCGUCCUAAGUAAUAAUAAACGACGCAUUCGCCAUUUCAUAUUUUCUCGUGUGUCGCUUACACCAUUUGUUGUUGCUAACGACCCAAAUGUUUGACUAUUACAAAUGUUUGGUGCUUAUCAAAAAUACUUAAACAUCGAUAAAGUAAAUUAUAUGCAUCGUUACCACAGACCACUCUAUCUGUAUGCGUCUUAAUGUGACAUACGUAAAUAUAACAAAAAGUAAAUUUUCACAAAAUGGUCGCCAGAUAGCCUUCUAACAGUCGAAUUAUAUUUGAUUAAAUAUUUUCAUUUUUAAUAAUGAUAUUUACGGCUGCGAUGGCGCUAACCCGACUACAACUUUUCAGCGACGUCAUUAUACGUGAGACGACGUUUUGGCGGUUUGACGUUGUUCGAUAGAUAAUAAAAACAUAUGGUAAUAUAUAAUCUAAUAUAAUAAUUAUUAUAUAUCUAAAUAAUUGGCAUUGGCAUAUAAAUCUAGGUAGUAACUACCUAUUACUUUUUAUUUACUUAUAUUUACUAUUUGUUUUAUGCUUGUGCUGUAGACUAAAAACAUGGUUACGUUCAAAAAUGGGCCAGGAUCGAUUAUGCGGGCUUGCACUGCUGCACAUAUACCAAGAAAUAAGUAUACCAGGGAUGGAAUUAUUAAAUGAUUUUACUCGUAUGCAAAACCGGACUUUUUAUUGUAUUACAAUUUAUUAUAAAAUUAUUUUAUAACAUGCAUUAUAUUAUAUUAUAUUGAACAAC
RNAcentral lists this long non-coding RNA (1680 nucleotides) under Cinara cedri. The record is from RNAcentral. Lineage: Eukaryota; Metazoa; Arthropoda; Insecta; Hemiptera; Aphididae.